GACAGAGGCCUCAAGCGUUAGGCGGAAUCACUGGGCUUAAAGCGUGUGUAGGCGGAUCGUUAAGUGUCUUGUGAAAUCCCACGGCUCACCCGUGGAACUGCUGGGCAUACUGGCGAUCUUGGGCCAACUAGGGGCAACUGGAACAAGCGGUGGAGCGGUGAAAUGCGUAGAUAUCGUUUGGAACGCCAAUGGUGAAAACAGGCGACUGGGGAUGAGCUGACACUGAGACACGAAAGCCAGGGGAGCAAACGGG
This 253-nucleotide ribosomal RNA is filed under the name uncultured bacterium. RNAcentral's name for it is "partial 16S ribosomal RNA". It matches the Rfam family "Bacterial small subunit ribosomal RNA", at positions 524 to 776 of the family's 1533-position model. The record is from RNAcentral.